RNAcentral lists this ribosomal RNA (2808 nucleotides) under Triticum aestivum (bread wheat). RNAcentral's name for it is "partial small subunit ribosomal RNA". Lineage: Eukaryota; Viridiplantae; Streptophyta; Magnoliopsida; Poales; Poaceae. The record is from RNAcentral.
AUGGAUAUGUUCCAUGCAAGAAUCAAUUGCAGGUGCACGUUGCUUGCCGGCAACAACUUGCUGCCUACUGUACUGCCUCAUACAUUCUCAUCGGUGGCCACGUACGUGCGAGUAGCUGGGCGUUUACGCUACGGCCAUGUACAAAUUGACACAUGCAUUGUGCGGCACCGUCUGUCACCGACUCACCGUACCCUUGUUUCUGGGAACCAGCUUCCCGUCCGUCGCAUCAUCUCUCACAUCUCACCGGAAAGAUGUGAAUUGCGUCAACAGACGGCGCUCCCCACGGCACCGUCGCUGGUCCCUGACCCGCCCUCUCCGAUCGCCGAGGAGAAGGUGACAUCCCCGGCUCCCUCCCUUGGCGCUGUGCUCGCCGCCGUCCCGUCGGGCUCCCUCUGCGACCCGCCACCGGCGGCCCCGGUUGUCGCCAUUCCGCCCCCCCGGCCGCCCUGCUUCCUCCGGUCGUGGCCCCCCACCGCCCCCGGUUCCUCUCGUGGACCGGGCUCCGCUCCGCUCCUGCUCCCUCCCACGGCAAACCUCGGCACGGACGGGGAGACCCGGGUGACCACUCCCUUGGCCGCCCAGCCUCCCCCUCCGCGUGCCGCGGCCUACUCUCGCCGCGGCCGGUCUGCCUCCUCUCCGGUGACCGCCUCCCACCGGAGCGCUCGGCUUGACGCGGCGCGCCCCGAGGGUAGCCCGGCGCUGCCCAUCCAUGAGCGGGCGGAGCUCCGGGCGGCUGCCCGGAACCUGGAGCCAGGCCCGAGCAGCUUUGCUCGCGCCUCCCGCCCCGUCGAUCGCGUCGGAGGAUGCUCUCCCGCCCCUCCUCGGAGGGCCGGUGGCAUCCCCCCUGACCAUGGCCGAGCUUCGGGGCCGCACCCGUUCUCAGACCGCUGCUCUCCGCGCCCAAAGCGCAUCUCGUGUCCUAGGGUCAAGCAGCCCCUCAUUGGUUGCUUGAUGUGUGCUCUCUUCUGGAGCAUCCGCGGCUUUGGCCAUGAUGGCCGCCGCUGCCAACUCAUCGACUACAUGCGUGAUGAACACAUUGACAUUGUUGCCAUCCAAGAAACCAUGCACACAGAAUUCUCCCUCCCGGAACUCGACCGCCUUAGCACUCACCUCUUCGCCUGGCAUUGGCUCCCUUCUAGUAGGAGCUCGGGCCAUUCCGGUGGCAUCCUGUUAGGCAUGAAGGAUGCCACCUUCGAGGUGGGCAGUAUGAACCAGGGCCAAUUCUUUGUCAGCAUGGAACUUUAUGAACGCGUCCUCAACUUCAAGUGGGAGGUUAUUAUUGUCUACGGCCCCGCCGACCACAGCCGGUCCACCUCCUUCCUCGAGGAGCUCCACCGGAAGGUCUCGGUUGCUUCGCUCCCGGUGGUGGUUGGGGGCAAUUUUAACCUCCUACAUUUCGCGGAUGACGAGAGCAAUUCGCACGUCAACUUUGCACGUAUGCAAAUGUUCAAUGACUGCAUUGCUGACCUUGGGCUCCGCGAAACAAAUAGGGUUGGUACCAGGUUCACCUGGACCAACCGUCAGGCUACUCCGACCCAGUCCAUUCUGGACCGGGUCCUAGUUUCCCCGAAGUGGGACCUCCGUUGCUCUCUUGCUUCCCUCCGGGCCAUUACUCGGGUCGGUUCCGACCACAUCCCCUCCUUCUAUCUUCCGCUGACGAGCGCCCCCCGAUCCCUCCCCGAUUCCGGCCCGCGCCCAACCUCAGUCCUUGUCUCGACCCCCUCCGCCAUCGACGCGUGGCAUUUCUGUGCCAAGCGCGGCCGACAGUUCAUGAAGGGGUCGGGCGCCAACCUGGGGCGCGACCUCCGCGAGCGCAAGAAGGCCCUGCUGUCUGCUAUCCAGGCCCUGGACCUACGCGCCGACGCCACCGGCCUCUCUCCUGAGGAGUGGCUUUCCCGUUACGACCUGGAAGACCAACUCUCUAUCAUAUACUCCGAUGAGGAGGCCUACUGGCGUGUGCGCGGUGCUCAGAAAUGGGUAUUGAAGGGCGAUGCGAACACAACGUAUUUCCAGGCCAUCACGAAUGGCCGUCGUAGACGCAACACCACCCCCCUCCUCUGGGAUGGCCGGACUCUCCUGCAGUCCCCGCGGGACAUUAGUUGGCCCUUCCUACGGGAAGUUCUUCUCCGGAAAGGCUUCGAUGACCGUUGGAUCACCAGGGUGAUGCAGAUGGUUUCUUGUGGCCGCACUACCGUGAACAUCAAUGGGGAGAUUGGCCCCUUCUUCCCCACUCUUUGUGGGGUGAGGCAAGGCGACCCUUUCUCCCCGUUCUUGUUCAAUAUGGUGGUGGAUGCACUUGCAGCCAUCCUGGACAAGGCUAAGGCGUCGGGCCAUAUUCGUGGACUCACCCCCACUUGGCCUGUGGCGCCGGCAUCUCCCUGCUCCAACCCCAUCGACAGUACCCCGGCCCCCGUCGACGCCGCCACAUGUGGCCUCAGCAAGCCACUCCGCGAGAAGCGCCCGGGCGACCCGGCUGUGAACUGUGUGUCCGCUCUUCCGCCAAGCUGUUCAGGUGUUUGCCUCUCCCGUGGGUGCUCUGCCGGCCGGCUUCUAUUUUCAAUCGGGUUUGGUAAUGAUACGGAAGGGUCAUUUUCCUUGAUUUUCUUCAAAGGUGUGGAUCUGUUAUCGUUGCUGGAUCAUGUACUGUCAUUUGUCCACUACUUAGGAAUUGAGAAGAAUAAAUAUGCAGAAGAUAUUGAAAGCGGUUUUUGGAUGUUGAAACAAACAAGUUGCUGCUCAUCUCUGACUCUCUGUUCACUAAGCUUUGCUGGGUCGUUGAUCUACAUGUCCUUCUGCUCAAGUAUCUAA